Non-coding RNA from Meleagris gallopavo (turkey), 1205 nucleotides. Lineage: Eukaryota; Metazoa; Chordata; Aves; Galliformes; Phasianidae. The record is from RefSeq and is a predicted model, not a curated record.
CUCAUUUAAGCGUUGACAGGGAGUAGUAAGGGUAUCUUGCUGGGGAACCUUGCUUACCUGAGGCUUUCUGAAGGGAUCAAUCCCUCCUUCAGGGUGCUGCGUUUUUACUUCACCUGUUGUGCUGCUAAGAAAAUGCUGAACUCACACAAAAUAUGCUUCUGUAAUGUAAAACAUGGGAAAAGUGACAGAGCAGAACUUGGAGAUGCUUGAUGGAAUUUGUCUUCAUUUUUUGAACAUGUGUGAGUUGUCAGUGUCCCCGCUCCAUGUGGCAGAGGUGGAGGAACUCCAGGUUGUCAAGCAAGUGUUUGCCUUGCCCAGAGCAUGGUCAAGCCUUGGCAUUUGCCUCAGCCUUCUUUAUGGUGCUCAGCUGAGCAUGGUUAACUCUGGGGAACAGCUGUGGGCUUGCAGGUCUCAAAGCCCGUUCAUUUUCCUAGGCUCCUGUUAUGUUUUGGGAGUGUGGAGGUAAUGAAAGCCCCCUACUUUAUGGCUGUACCUCUGGUAGCCCACUCUCUGGGCACAUAUGGGCCACAGAGAAGCCUGCAAUUUAUUUUUGAGGGGUCACUGCUCAUAUCACAUGGCUCUCAAACUUGGUUUCUAUUCUUAAGCAUACUAAAAUUGCACAUCCAGUGCUGAGCUCGUUGGAUGCUCAGGCUGCCUGCACAGCAAGCCAUGCACUUCCAGCUCUGGGCAAACUCAGAGCCCAGCCAGUCGAUGCUGUCUCCACAAGGAAGGAAGAGAAGAAAGUCACAUCUAUGCUCUGUCAGCUUUCCUAACCACUUCAAGCCAUUAGCUCUGACAAUUUUUCAACAUCAUCCAUAUAAAAUGCAUUCUGGUAAUAUGCACUGGACUCAUUUAUUUAUACUGCUUACUAAGUUCACAGCCAAUAUAUUGGUACCAGAGAUAUGCUGUCCCUUCAUUGAGCACUCUGGGAAAUGUCUGAGGACAACAAGUACCUGAUUUCCCCUGUAAUUCUCCAGAGAUUUAUGUGCUACUGUAAUGAGAGUGAACAUGGAGCAGCAAGCAGAUGUCAGAGAUGUAUAGCUCAGCCUGUGGUUUUAGAAGAGGACGACCUUUGUAUUCUUAGGUUGUGCUUUGAGUAGGUGGAUGGGGAGAAAAUAACCCUGUGGAGCUGGAAAGCCAAACUGUGCCAUGUGAAAGGGAUUGUCAGAGCUCUGUGUUUGAGUUUGGAUCGUUCCUUAGGUCUG